Molecule: non-coding RNA, 73 nt
Organism: Merluccius polli (Benguela hake)
Lineage: Eukaryota; Metazoa; Chordata; Actinopteri; Gadiformes; Merlucciidae
Source: the annotation of a GenBank genome assembly
GGCUCGUUGGUCUAGAGGUAUGAUUCUCGCUUCGGGUGUGGGGAGGUCCCGGGUUCAAAUCUCGGACGAGCCC